CUUCAUUAUGCUGCUGACAACGGACAAGAAAGAAUUGUUCAAUUUCUUUUAGAACAAGGAGCGUCUAUUGACGUCCGUGAUAAAAAUAGUGAAACUGCACUCUACCAGGCAGCUGUGGGUGGACACUGCAGCGCAUUCAGAAUUCUUCUUGAAAACCAAGCCAACGUUGAAUUGCGAGAUAUCCACAAGAAAACAUUUUUGGACGUGAUUUAUCAUAAAAUUACCAAUGAGCAC
Molecule: long non-coding RNA, 234 nt
Organism: Corticium candelabrum
Lineage: Eukaryota; Metazoa; Porifera; Homoscleromorpha; Homosclerophorida; Plakinidae
Exons: 3
Source: RefSeq, a predicted model, not a curated record